RNAcentral lists this long non-coding RNA (1527 nucleotides) under Anas platyrhynchos platyrhynchos (common mallard). RNAcentral's name for it is "lncRNA (ENSAPLG00000028464.1)". The record is from RNAcentral. Lineage: Eukaryota; Metazoa; Chordata; Aves; Anseriformes; Anatidae.
CGCCCCACCGGCGGCGGGAGGGGGCGGCAGGGGGUGAACGGGCCCAGAACGGGCUGAGGGCAACGGGGCUGGCUCGGGCCCGGGGGCCGCGUCCCUCCGGUGGGGGCACCGGGGGGCGGCGGAGGGGACGGGACUGGGACCGGGACCGGGACCGGGCCGCAGGGGGGGCACGGGGAAGGCCCCUCACAACCAGGCCCAGCGGGCCCCGGCCUCGUAGGGCCCGGCCAGGCGCGGUGGGGCCCGGCCCGGUUCCCCCCCCCCCUCCCCCGGGCCGGUCCCGGUCCCGGUUCCGGUCCCGGUUCCGGGGGCGGGGCGAGGCGGGGCCGCGCCAACCAAUGGGAUCGCGCCGCGGCCCUGUUGCCUUGGCGACCGCGGGCUGCCCGGCCGAGGGGCCGCUCCCAUUGGCUGCCGCCUCGGCGCGGGCCCGGCGCAGGGCGCGAUCCCAUUGGCUGCGGCGCCGCCCGCUGUUGCCAUGGCGACAGCGCCCGAGCGCGGCCUAGGCCCGGCCCCGAACCCUGAGGCCUGGCCCGGGGGCGAGCAGCGGGCACCGGGCACCGGGAACGACCCUGAGGGGGGCUGGGGGGAGCCCCGCGGGGUCAGGCGGAGCCGCAGGGCCCGGUCUCGGUGCUGGGGGCACGAGUGUCCCGUGUGGAAGCGGGGAUGGAGCCAAGAGGCCUGGUCCCGGGGGGGCUGAGGGGAGCGUUACAUUUAUGUCGAGUAAAAAAACACCCCUGCCUUCAAAGAAACCGGUGUCCCAAGAGAAAUACAGAAGUUUUACCGAGAAGUCAGCGCUCAAGGAGGCUGAAAUAGCUGAGGCGUUGGAAGAGAUCAAAAUCACCACGGAUCUGACCCAGCAGAAGAUAAAUGCCAUAGAGGAGCUGAAGCAGCGCAGCGCCCGCCUGGAAGAGGCCAACUGCCGGCUGAUGAAGGACAUCCAGCACACCGAUGCCAGCACUGCCAAGCGAGCCAGAGACCUGCUGCAGCAGUACGAACAGUUUCAGAUGGUCAAGGCAACGGCGCAGACCGCCAGUCAGAAGAGACUGGACACAGCGAGGGCAGAGCUGCAGGAAAUGGAAAAAACAAUGGAAAAGAAUCUGGGAGAGCUACAGCAGCAGUUGGAUGAAGCCACAUCCAACGUACAGGUUCUCCAGGAUGAGCUCAGCGUCCUGCGGACCUACACGGACGUGCAUUAUCCCAAACAGGCUCUCCAGAUUGUCCUCCUUCUCUCCGACAUCCAGAACCUGAAGAAGCAGCAGCAGGUGCUGAGACCUCUCCUCCUCUGUAGCAUUGCUCUGGGGACUGGAGAGGGCAGGGGAGGAAGGAACAGGAGCUCAGUGUUUGUCCUGCUUAACGCUCCUGCUGUUCCUGUGCGCUGCCUCCUGCCGCCCUCAGGAUGAGAUAGACAAGACAGAAGAAAUGGGGAAGGCCGUCCUGGAGGAACUGGAAGAGAAAACACGGCAAGAACAAGAGGAGCUGCUGCAGCAAGUCGUGGAGGUAGGUGGUGGAACUACUCCGCCGUCUCGGCAG